Molecule: long non-coding RNA, 405 nt
Organism: Coffea arabica (coffee)
Lineage: Eukaryota; Viridiplantae; Streptophyta; Magnoliopsida; Gentianales; Rubiaceae
Source: RefSeq, a predicted model, not a curated record
UAACCCACCAAGACAUGGCUGGUGCAAAAGUUGGUAUUAUCACUCUCCUCUUUUGCGCAACAAUCCUACUGGGAUGGAAGCCGGAACAUGCAAGUGCAAAAGUAUGCCCACUCGUCUGCUUCAAAGCAGCUUACAUGAUUUGCCCACAUCCACCUCACAAGAAACUUCGGCCCGUCUGCAACUGUUGCUUGGCUAAACCACACUGCAAGCUUUAUCGUCAUGAUGGGACUGUGAUUUGUACUGCAACCGGAUGAGCCUUCGACAGUCAAUGGACACAAGAACCUCUUCAAAUUGGCUGCAAGCUUGUGACAAUUAGUAGUGUUUCAAUAAAUUGGGGCCGUUUGGGAGUUAAUUAUUUCAUGUACUGUUCUGUUAAAUAUAAAUAAAAAAAUGUUAAAUUUCUUC